RNAcentral lists this ribosomal RNA (306 nucleotides) under uncultured Planctomycetota bacterium. RNAcentral's name for it is "bacterial SSU rRNA". It matches the Rfam family "Bacterial small subunit ribosomal RNA", at positions 29 to 351 of the family's 1533-position model. Lineage: Bacteria; Pseudomonadati; Planctomycetota. The record is from RNAcentral.
AAUGAACGUUGGCGGCGUGGAUUAGGCAUGCAAGUCGCGCGAGAACUGUAGCAAUACAGGGAAAGCGGCGUAAGGGACAGUAAUACCUAGAAACGUACCCCCGGGUCUGGGAUAGCGGCGGGAAACUGCCGGUAAUACCAGAUAACGUCUCCGGACCAAAGGUGUGAUUCCACCUGGGGAGCGGUCUAGGCCCUAUUAGCUUGUUGGUGGGGUAACGGCCUACCAAGGCAAAGAUGGGUAGCGGGUGUGAGAGCACGACCCGCGUCACUGGGACUGAGACACUGCCCAGACACCUACGGGAGGCAG